GGCUGGAUGGCAGAGUGGUUAUGUAGCGGACUGCAACUCCGUGUACACCGGUUCGAUUCCGGUUCCAGCCUCCA
Molecule: transfer RNA, 74 nt
Filed under: SAR86 cluster bacterium
Lineage: Bacteria; Pseudomonadati; Pseudomonadota; Gammaproteobacteria
Also listed under: 2 other names
Description: tRNA-Cys
Rfam family: tRNA
About the family: Transfer RNA (tRNA) molecules are approximately 80 nucleotides in length. Their secondary structure includes four short double-helical elements and three loops (D, anti-codon, and T loops). Further hydrogen bonds mediate the characteristic L-shaped molecular structure. tRNAs have two regions of fundamental functional importance: the anti-codon, which is responsible for specific mRNA codon recognition, and the 3' end, to which the tRNAs corresponding amino acid is attached (by aminoacyl-tRNA synthetases). tRNAs cope with the degeneracy of the genetic code in two manners: having more than one tRNA (with a specific anti-codon) for a particular amino acid; and 'wobble' base-pairing, i.e. permitting non-standard base-pairing at the 3rd anti-codon position.
Source: RNAcentral